Long non-coding RNA from Phyllostomus discolor (pale spear-nosed bat), 3824 nucleotides. RefSeq lists it as uncharacterized. The transcript has 4 exons. NCBI's taxonomy places the organism in Eukaryota, Metazoa, Chordata, Mammalia, Chiroptera, Phyllostomidae. The record is from RefSeq and is a predicted model, not a curated record.
CCUGGCAAAGGUACUACGAAGUGGGUGAUGUUUGAAUUGUUUGGGCUUUAUCCCACCUCCUGUUACCUGGUGCCCUGGAUGAACCCCUGAGGCCCCAGGGACACCUGAUUGAAUAAAAAUCCUGGUUAUUGUGCUAAAUGAUAAGGCAAGGUAUAUGUUACAUGUGUAUAAAGAGAAUAUUAUGUACAUACGAAUAUCACUUGUACAAAACUACAUAAUGACUUUGUGCUCCUUUUAUAAAAAGGUUCACAAUGUACUAACGACUGAUGUUGGAGAUCACACCCAGGCCUUUGCUGCAGGCGGCCAGUCAGUGUUCAGUGUCUGGGACUAUCUGCUCAUCCUGACUUGGAAGCAGGUUUAUUUAUUCAACAUAAAAGGAAGUAUUUGAACUCACAGAGUGUGAUCCUCUGCAACUCUUAAAAGCAGCAUGACUGGACAGACAACUUUUAGGACAAUGAGACAUAUUUCUCUGCUCUGAACACCACCUCGCUAUUGAAGGGGGCCAAAGUUUUGCUUUCCUGAAGCUGCCUUUUGGGAUAUAGACUUUAAGCUGUUCAUUAAGAAACUAAAGACUCAGAAAGAACCUUUGACCCUCUCCCCUUGUCUGCCCAGGAGAUUCAGAUGGAAACACCCGCUUCAGGAAGGCAGUCUUGGAAUGCUCACCACGGCCCACUUUGAAUGAAGUAUGGAAGUAGGAAGACUUCAGAAGUGGCCUGUCUGUGAGGGCUUGUUGGCAUCAGAGACCCAAGGAGAGGCGAGAAAUUGAUUUCAGGACCACAGUUUGAAGAAGGCAAGUAAUAGAGGAUGUACCGUGAAAUUGAUUUUGGAGAGAAAUUUGAAGUUAAUCAUUCAUUGGUAUGACAGAUACUCACUGGGUUGCUGCUAUGAGUGAUGCCCAGGUUAUAUAAGCAAAGACUAAAACUGGAGAGUGGUUAAACUAGAACAACAGAUGAUUUACUAACAGCUCCAAGUCAUGGAGAACCAAUAUAAGAAUUAUCUGGAAAUAGAAAUUUUGUACAUCAACUCUUCUCGUUCCUUUUCUUCCUUUCUUCUUUUUUAAAUGUUUUAAAAGAAUAUUCUUUCACCAGAAGCAUCAGUGGAGCCUGACAGACACAUCCCAGGAGGAGAGCCCAUGCUGGCCAGGCAUAAGACUUCAGAGGGGGAGGGACAGGAAAGUGUGUCCCCUUCCCUUUGUGGACCCUGGCCACUAGAUCCUGUUUUUUGUCUGUUUGUUUAUUUUGUUUUGUUUUGUUUUUAAGGUACUAAGCAGCUAUAUCAAGAAAAGUCAACAGGAGUGGAAUAUUAAGACCUCAUUUUUUAGUUCAAGUACCAUAAAACUGAUCACAGAGUGGAUACCAUGUGUUAACUGAAUUCUAUUAAAUUUUGUAUUAUCAUAGAGAUGCUCUAACUUAAGUAGAGGAACUAAAAAAAAUUCUUAAUGCUAAAAUAGAAUGAAGAAUGAAGAAGUCAUUUAAGAUUUAAAAGUGUUAUUUGUAGAUUUGUUCAUAAACAGAUUAGCAUAGAGAUCAGAAGUAAACUAAAAAUGAGCUCAGAUCGUGUGGCCCAUGGGGGAUUUAGGAUCCUAGCUAUAUCCUCUGUAAUUUUGAAAAGAAAUUGCAUGUGCAUUGGGCCAUAUUUUCAAAAUUUUGAUCAUAAGUUUUAUGGCUUGCUUAAAAGGACUUGUCUCAAUAGCAUUCCCAGCUAGAAGUUUUCUUUCACACUUUUUUUUAAAGCACCACAUACAAUUUCAAGGAAGCAUUAUUUUAAGGCUCCUGUUUAUGCUAAUUAGCAGACUUUCUGAGAAGCUCUAAACUCCAGAUAUUGAAAAGAGCUUCACUCACCACAUUUUAAAGGGUGCUUCAAGUUAACAUGAUAGUGUACAAAAGCAUCACAGACAGUCCCUGUGAGGACCCAAUGAGAAGAGGGCCAAGUGCGAAUCAAGAAGAGGACCCUCAUCAGGAACCCAGUCAGCUGCAACCAUGAUCGUGGACUCCCUAGCCUUUAGAAUUGUUGACAAGAGCAAAGAAGAGACAUUAACAAAUGAGAGAGAUAUUCAAAGAACCACCAAUUGUUGUGACUGACUGGAUGCUAAGGCAUGAACCUGGAGGAAUCCCAAAGAUUCCUGUCUCCUUAGAGUCAGGAGUGUAUGUAUUUGCAGUAUAUGACAAUCGGAGGAAAGAUCCACUGGGAGAUUGGGGUGAAUGUGGAACUGGAUGGUCUGACAUUUUUAUCUGUUGAAGUUGAGGUGGCAGUUGUGUUUACAGUGUGACGGAAGCCAGGCAUCGGUGAUACCCGCCGUCCUUGUGGUGGCAUUCCUUCGUGCACUGGAGGCUUUUACACUCGGGCAGAGCAGAUCCAGAUGUGAAGUUAACUCUUGACUGAGUAACUGAACUUAAGCAGCUGGUUUGCUACAAAAAGGAAAAGAAAAGGAGAGGCUUUAAAAUAAAGGGGGUCCCCACCAAAAUGUUUAGGCAGUACUUUGUGAAAGGGUAGCAAUUUCUACUUAGGGAGCAGACCUGUCCUAUAGUCAGCCCCCUACCCAUUCCUUCAGUGAAGAGCUAGGAGAGCCAGGAGUCACUAGAAAACCCCCAAAUGGAGAAGCCAAUGACCAGGAAGUGGGUCCCAGCAGGCCGUAGGGAGCAGCUGGGUUUUGGGGUGGAAGUACAGUUCCUUCAUCAGACAAUAAGUACCUUCCUAGAAAGAUAUGUAUGUUUGCAUAUCCAAAUUGCUACCAUCGAUAAAUGUUUUCCAUGAGGCUUUGUUUUGAAAUAAUGUAGAUUUUCCUUAAUCAAGAAAAUUACAUGAAUCUGAACUUUAAAAACUGGGAACCAACAACCUAAGACAUUACUUCUAUUUUGACUAUAUUAACAGAAUGCAUGUUUCUUAUUAAAAAUAUUUGAAAAGCAUCCCAAACAUAGAGACUGUUAGAGAAGAUAAAAUAUCACACACAUGUUAUGUAUAUAUAUAUAACCUGGAAACAAAAAAUGCCAUAUUUGCUUCAGUUUUUAAAAGGAAAUGAAAUGUUAAAGAUGUAUCUGAUGUUCCUUGUCUGCCAUCUCAGCUGCUGUUCCGUUCCCUAGUUUCUCAGAGGUUACUGCUAUUCUGAAAUUGAUAUGUUUUUCCCAUGCAUGUUUACUACACACAUAUGUCCCAAUAUGUAUCCUGUAAUAUUAUUCUGUAUGUUUGUAAUUGUACAUAAAUGAAAUUGCAUUGUAUUGGCCAUUCUCCAUCUUAUUUUUAUCCUAUUUUUAUAUAUCACAAUGUGUUUAUCCAUUCUGCCACUGAAGGACAUUUGUUCCCAGUUUUCUCUGGGAUGAAUGUCCUUGUGAGAUGUUGGCAGUUAGACAGACAUGAACAGAGUAGGAAUGAUAAGCCGGGUACAGAAGUUCACCAGGGCAAAAAGCCCUGGGUGCCUCGUAAUACACAAUUGUAAGGUGGGACCUCACCUCUAGGGUUAUCUUUCCUCCACUAACAUAUUGCUGGUCAUGUGGUUUAGACCCCUGACCUUUCAUAUCACUGGUCAUGCAGUACGGAUCCCCCCUGACCUAUCCUCUCCUGCCGUGUCAUUAGUCAUAUGGUAGACCCCCUUAGAGAAGGAACAAGGGGGCCAGAGAACAGCCUCAUAAGACUCCCUGGCACGACCACUCCCUUAAGCAUUACACUCUAGAGAUGACAUCUAGGCCUCAGUUGCGUUUCAGCUCCAGGCCCCAUAAAGCAGCAAGGCCGGGUAGGCGAUGUCAUGGCUGACACCAGGACCCCCUGUGAUGACUAAUGACCCCCUGCCCUGGCGCUGACCAGUCAGUAGAGACCAUGACCCUGAGGGA